Non-coding RNA from Acanthosepion pharaonis, 109 nucleotides. Lineage: Eukaryota; Metazoa; Mollusca; Cephalopoda; Sepiida; Sepiidae. The record is from the annotation of a GenBank genome assembly.
UGACGGCCAUAUCACGUUAAAACAUCGGUUCCUGUAUGUUCACCAAAGUUAAGCAACGUCCAGCCUGGUUAGUACCUAUAUGGGUGAGCACUUUGGAAUACCAGGGUGC